This 1318-nucleotide ribosomal RNA is filed under the name uncultured bacterium. Its description in RNAcentral is "bacterial SSU rRNA". It matches the Rfam family "Bacterial small subunit ribosomal RNA", at positions 29 to 1394 of the family's 1533-position model. The record is from RNAcentral.
ACGUACGCUGGCGGCACGCCUAACACAUGCAAGUCGAACGAAGUAGCAAUACUUAGUGGCAGACGGGUGAGUAACAUGUAGGUAUCUGCCCUUUGGCCUGGAAUAACACGAGGAAACUUGUGCUAAUACCGGAUAAGUCUUUACGGAGAAAGCUUUAUGCACCAUUGGAUGAGCCUGCACUUGAUUAGUUUGUUGGUAGGGUAAUGGCCUACCAAGACUAUGAUCAAUAGCUGAUUUGAGAGGAUGAUCAGCCACAUUGGGACUGAGACACGGCCCAAACUCCUACGGGAGGCAGCAGUGGGGAAUCUUGCACAAUGGAGGAAACUCUGAUGCAGCGAUGCCGCGUGAGUGAAGAAGGCCCUUGGGUUGUAAAGCUCUUUCGUCGGGGAAGAAAGUGACUGUACCCGAAUAAGAAGGUCCGGCUAACUUCGUGCCAGCAGCCGCGGUAAUACGAAGGGACCUAGCGUAGUUCGGAAUUACUGGGCUUAAAGAGUUCGUAGGUGGUUGAAAAAGUUGGUGGUGAAAUCCCAGAGCUUAACUCUGGAACUGCCAUCAAAACUUUUCAGCUAGAGUUUGAUAGAGGAAAGCAGAAUUUCUAGUGUAGAGGUGAAAUUCGUAGAUAUUAGAAAGAAUAUCAAUUGUGAAGGCAGCUUUCUGGAUCAUUACUGACACUGAGGAACGAAAGCAUGGGUAGCGAAGAGGAUUAGAUACCCUCGUAGUCCAUGCCGUAAACGAUGUGUGUUAGACGUUGGAAAUUUAUUUUCAGUGUCGCAGCAAAAGCGAUAAACACACCGCCUGGGGAGUACGACCGCAAGGUUAAAACUCAAAUGAAUUGACGGGGACCCGCACAAGUAGUGGAGCAUGUGGUUUAAUUCGAAGAUACGCGCAGAACCUUACCAACACUUGACAUGUUCGUCGCGACUCUAAGAGAUUAGAGUUUUCGGUUCGGCCGGACGAAACACAGGUGCUGCAUGGCUGUCGUCAGCUCGUGUCGUGAGAUGUUGGGUUAAGUCCCGCAACGAGCGCAACCCUCACUUUUAGUUGCCAUCAUUAAGUUGGGCACUCUGAAAGAACUGCCAGUGAUAAGCUGGAGGAAGGUGGGGAUGACGUCAAGUCCUCAUGGCCCUUACGUGUUGGGCUACACACGUGCUACAAUGGUAUCUACAACAGGAAGCAAGACGGCGACGUCAAGCAAAUCCUUAAAAGAUACCUCAGUUCGGAUUGCACUCUGCAACUCGAGUGCAUGAAGCUGGAAUUACUAGUAAUCGUGGAUCAGCGUGCCACGGUGAAUGCGUUCCCGGGUCUUGCACACACCGCC